Molecule: ribosomal RNA, 99 nt
Filed under: Rhodococcus erythropolis
Lineage: Bacteria; Bacillati; Actinomycetota; Actinomycetes; Mycobacteriales; Nocardiaceae
Also listed under: 3 other names
Source: RNAcentral
UACGGCGGUCAUAGCGAAGGGGAAACGCCCGGUCCCAUUCCGAACCCGGAAGCUAAGCCCUUCAGCGCCGAUGGUACUGCACUCGACAGGGUGUGGGAG